Molecule: ribosomal RNA, 253 nt
Filed under: uncultured bacterium
Lineage: Bacteria
Description: partial 16S ribosomal RNA
Rfam family: Bacterial small subunit ribosomal RNA
Source: RNAcentral
UACGUAGGGUGCGAGCGUUGUCCGGAAUCAUUGGGCGUAAAGCGCACGUAGGCGGCCUGAUAAGUCGGAUGUGAAAUCCCUCGGCUCAACUGAGGACGUGCAUUCGAAACUGCCAGGCUCGAGUAUGGAAGAGGGUCGCGGAAUUCCCGGUGUAGAGGUGAAAUUCGUAGAUAUCGGGAGGAACACCAGUGGCGAAGGCGGCGACCUGGGCCAAUACUGACGCUGAGGUGCGAAAGCGUGGGGAGCAAACAGG